GCUCCUGCUGAGUAAAUUUCGAAUCUGCAGAUCAAUCAACUUUUAGCUAUAGCAUUCUCGAUUCCUAGCUAAGACUUCCAGCUAAAAAUCAAUUCUUUCGAUGAAAAAAUAAGAACCCUAAUAAUCAUUUUUGACUAAAGAACUUGAAGUCAAAAUUCAAAGACACAGCGAAUAUUGAUUGAAU
Non-coding RNA from Arabidopsis thaliana (thale cress), 184 nucleotides. RefSeq annotates it as other RNA. Lineage: Eukaryota; Viridiplantae; Streptophyta; Magnoliopsida; Brassicales; Brassicaceae. The transcript has a single exon. The record is from RefSeq.